This 464-nucleotide ribosomal RNA is filed under the name uncultured bacterium. Its description in RNAcentral is "partial 16S ribosomal RNA". It matches the Rfam family "Bacterial small subunit ribosomal RNA", at positions 338 to 794 of the family's 1533-position model. The record is from RNAcentral.
ACUACGGGAGACUGCAGUGGGGAAUAUUGCGCAAUGGGCGAAAGCCUGACGCAGCGACGCCGCGUGAGGGAUGAAGGUCUUCGGAUCGUAAACCUCUGUCAGCAGGGAAGAACGGUCACUGUGCUAAUCAGCAGUGAAUUGACGGUACCUUCAAAGGAAGCACCGGCUAACUCCGUGCCAUCAGCCGCGGUAAUACGGGGGGUGCGAGCGUUAAACGGAAUUAAUUGGCGUAAAGCGCUCGUAGGCGGUAGGUCAACUCAAGGGUGAAAUCCCCGCGCGCAACGUGGGAACUGCCUUUGAAACUGGCAAACUGGAGUGUGUGAGAGGAGAGUGGAAUUCCAGGUGUAGGAGUGAAAUCCGUAGAUAUCUGGAGGAACAUCAGUGGCGAAGGCGACUAUCUGGCACAUAACUGACGCUGAGGAGCGAAAGCGUGGGUAGCAAACAGGAUUAGAUACCCUAGUAGU